Molecule: ribosomal RNA, 587 nt
Filed under: uncultured bacterium
Lineage: Bacteria
Description: partial 16S ribosomal RNA
Rfam family: Bacterial small subunit ribosomal RNA
Source: RNAcentral
UGGGGAAUUUUGGACAAUGGGCGAAAGCCUGAUCCAGCAAUGCCGCGUGUGUGAAGAAGGCCUUCGGGUUGUAAAGCACUUUUGUCCGGAAAGAAAUCCUUGGCUCUAAUACAGUCGGGGGAUGACGGUACCGGAAGAAUAAGCACCGGCUAACUACGUGCCAGCAGCCGCGGUAAUACGUAGGGUGCAAGCGUUAAUCGGAAUUACUGGGCGUAAAGCGUGCGCAGGCGGUUUGCUAAGACCGAUGUGAAAUCCCCGGGCUCAACCUGGGAACUGCAUUGGUGACUGGCAGGCUAGAGUAUGGCAGAGGGGGGUAGAAUUCCACGUGUAGCAGUGAAAUGCGUAGAGAUGUGGAGGAAUACCGAUGGCGAAGGCAGCCCCCUGGGCCAAUACUGACGCUCAUGCACGAAAGCGUGGGGGAGCAAACAGGAUUAGAUACCCCUGGUAGUCCACGCCCUAAACGAUGUCAACUAGUUGUUGGGGAUUCAUUUCCUUAGUAACGUAGCUAACGCGUGAAGUUGACCGCCUGGGGAGUACGGUCGCAAGAUUAAAACUUAAAGGAAUUGACGGGGUCAUAGCUGUUUCCU